RNAcentral lists this long non-coding RNA (1539 nucleotides) under Rattus norvegicus (Norway rat). RNAcentral's name for it is "long non-coding RNA NONRATT024504". The record is from RNAcentral. Lineage: Eukaryota; Metazoa; Chordata; Mammalia; Rodentia; Muridae.
GCUCUUUUAUUUACGAAGGCCAAGGACAGUGUUAAGGGCUGCAGGAUCCAGUUCUCUCAGUAUCUGGUUUGUCCCGAGUCGUUCUGCUUUCCUGGAGCCUUGAGAGGCCAGGCCCCUUGGAAUGGGAAAGAGCUCUGAGCUACUUCUCUGAUCUCUGCUGUCGCAUCUGUGCCUCUUGUAUCCCAGGUCCUUAGGAAGCCACCACGGCAAGCCAAGCACAAGCUCACCCUGUGACAGCAUUAUUCCUCCUUCCCCAGAGGACCUGGAAGGCUGUGCAAACCUUUUCCUAAACCCAAAGGGGGCUCCCUAGAGAGUGGUGGCCUUAAUCCCUGUGCUGACCUUGUGAAAUCAUGCUCAGGCCAGAGCUGCUCCAACGAUCCAGUCUUAAGGUCACCACUUCCUUAGUCGGGAUCUCGGAGGGCUAUUUCAACCCCUUUGCUGCUUGUCAACAGCCCAUCUGGGGCUGUAAAAGUUUUCUCAGACGUUUGGAGUUCAUGCCCCACUCUCAGCCUGCUACACCGAGGGGAACUGUUCAGAGGCCUGAAGGUGCAGAGCUAGGCCUGAGGGACCUUUGGACAAGCCCAUGGCUACCAUUUUAUAUCUUUGAGUCCAGGAGGCUGCUGAAGGAGCCUCAAGCAGGUCCCAGGGAGGCCUGGCCUGGCCUUGGGUGCCAGCUUCCUUCUUGCCUGUCGUGUUCUCAGUAGCUGCCAGUUACUCCCACUGUACCCUAUUUGAUGCUGAUAUUCACGCCCCCACCCCCCACCCCCAAUACGGCAUGCUGGAGAUUUCUGGAUCCUUCCCUGGGAGGGGGAUGUCUCCUAACUAGAUGAGACAGGAGCCUUCAUUCCUUGACUUGUCAUUUGGGAACUAUUUAUUUAUUUCUUAAUAUUUAAUUUUUAACAUCCUCAGGGACCAGGGGCCUCUUGCUUUCCAGAGGUCCAAGUGCAUUUAUCCCAAAAUAAGGCACCUUCUUGGCAUCUCCAAAUCCUCCCCCAGUUCCAAGGCCCUGGGGUCCCUUACUUUGUGACUCUUAGGUGCAGGAGUGAUAAAAACUGACGGAACUGGGAAGUUGGGAGUGUUCUCAGUCACAGGAAACUAGCAGAUGUGGGUGAGAUCAAAGGCAGGGCUCAGUCCUGCCCUUUCUGUACUCUCAAGUGCUGGAGGGAGUUGGCAAGAGGCCAGAAUUCUAGUUUUAUUUAUCAGCCUGGAAUCUGGCUUGAAGAAACCAUAUUUGGCAUGGAAUUACUGAAGGGUCAGAAUGUUCUAGAGGCCCCUUCACUUUCCAGUUCCACAGGAGACUUAAAGUUACUUUUCUGAUAUGACCACUUAACUUUAGUUGUACAGAAGGAAGUCUAAGUGAAUGUGUGUCGGACUGUUCAGGGUGUUAGUAAGAGCUAUAAAGGAUUCCUUCACCAUUCCCUAGGCAAUAGUCUACAGCCCUGUUGGGAACUGGAGAUAGAGAUGGGGUUUUUUGUCUUUGAGCUACGGACUAUUGGGUGUUUCUUAACAUUCAUUUACGCAUGAGUAUGGUUCUAUGAG